This 292-nucleotide ribosomal RNA is filed under the name uncultured bacterium. RNAcentral describes it as "partial 16S ribosomal RNA". It matches the Rfam family "Bacterial small subunit ribosomal RNA", at positions 505 to 796 of the family's 1533-position model. The record is from RNAcentral.
GUGCCAGCCGCCGCGGUAAUACAGAGGGUGCGAGCGUUGUCCGGAAUCACUGGGCGUAAAGGGCGCGUAGGUGGCUGGGUAAGUGUGCGGUGAAAGCCCGGGGCUCAACCCCGGGUCGGCCGUGCAGACUGCUUGGCUUGAGCAUAGUAGAGGCAGGUGGAAUUCCGGGUGUAGCGGUGGAAUGCGUAGAGAUCCGGAAGAACACCGGUGGCGAAGGCGGCCUGCUGGGCUAUUGCUGACACUGAGGCGCGACAGCGUGGGGAGCAAACAGGAUUAGAUACCCGUGUAGUCC